RNAcentral lists this small nucleolar RNA (222 nucleotides) under Cyclopterus lumpus (lumpfish). RNAcentral's name for it is "Small nucleolar RNA SNORA73 family (ENSCLMG00005011873.1)". It matches the Rfam family "Small nucleolar RNA SNORA73 family". From Rfam's summary of the family: U17 (SNORA73A and SNORA73B) also known as E1 belongs to the H/ACA class of small nucleolar RNAs (snoRNAs). Vertebrate U17 is intron-encoded and ranges in length from 200-230 nucleotides, longer than most snoRNAs. Lineage: Eukaryota; Metazoa; Chordata; Actinopteri; Perciformes; Cyclopteridae. The record is from Rfam by way of RNAcentral.
CCGACGUGGUCAUCCAGCGAGGUUGCUCUCCUGGCUCUGUCCUGGUGGCGUAUGGGAGCGUAGCUUUCGAGCUGAGACGUACAUUCCCGUUCCACGACGUCGGAGACUAAGCUCCGCCUCCCGGCCGUUGGUCGGUGAGGACGUGGCGUCCUGCAUAUUCCUACAUCUUCCCAGAGUCCUUUGGGGCUGUGACUGGGGGGCUAAACCAUGCAGUGCACAGCA